UUCCGGUUGAUCCUGCCGGAGGCCACUGCUAUGGGGGUCCGACUAAGCCAUGCGAGUCAUGGGGUCCCUUCGGGGACACCGGCGGACGGCUCAGUAACACGUCGGUAACCUACCCUCGGGAGGGGGAUAACCCCGGGAAACUGGGGCUAAUCCCCCAUAGGCCUGGGGUACUGGAAGGUCCCCAGGCCGAAAGGGGCUCUGCCCGCCCGAGGAUGGGCCGGCGGCCGAUUAGGUAGUUGGUGGGGUAACGGCCCACCAAGCCGAAGAUCGGUACGGGCCAUGAGAGUGGGAGCCCGGAGAUGGACACUGAGACACGGGUCCAGGCCCUACGGGGCGCAGCAGGCGCGAAACCUCCGCAAUGCGGGCAACCGCGACGGGGGGACCCCCAGUGCCGUGGCAAAGCCACGGCUUUUCCGGAGUGUAAAAAGCUCCGGGAAUAAGGGCUGGGCAAGGCCGGUGGCAGCCGCCGCGGUAAUACCGGCGGCCCAAGUGGUGGCCGCUAUUAUUGGGCCUAAAGCGUCCGUAGCCGGGCCCGUAAGUCCCUGGCGAAAUUCCACGGCUCAACCGUGGGGCUCGCUGGGGAUACUGCGGGCCUUGGGACCGGGAGAGGCGGGGGGUACCCCUGGGGUAGGGGUGAAAUCCUAUAAUCCCAGGGGGACCGCCAGUGGCGAAGGCGCCCCGCUGGAACGGGUCCGACGGUGAGGGACGAAGGCCAGGGGAGCGAACCGGAUUAGAUACCCGGGUAGUCCUGGCUGUAAAGGAUGCGGGCUAGGUGUCGGGCGAGCUUCGAGCUCGCCCGGUGCCGGAGGGAAGCCGUUAAGCCCGCCGCCUGGGGAGUACGGCCGCAAGGCUGAAACUUAAAGGAAUUGGCGGGGGAGCACUACAAGGGGUGGAGCGUGCGGUUUAAUUGGAAUCAACGCCGGA
This 924-nucleotide ribosomal RNA is filed under the name uncultured archaeon. Its description in RNAcentral is "bacterial SSU rRNA". It matches the Rfam family "Archaeal small subunit ribosomal RNA", at positions 1 to 922 of the family's 1478-position model. The record is from RNAcentral.